AACGAACGCUGGCGGCAUGCCUAACACAUGCCAGUCGAACGAGACCUUCGGGUCUAGUGGCGCACGGGUGCGUAACGCGUGGGAAUCUACCCUCAGGUUCGGAAUAACUCAGAGAAAUUUGAGCUAAUACCGGAUGAUGACGUAAGUCCAAAGAUUUAUCGCCUGAGGAUGAGCCCGCGUAGGAUUAGGUAGUUGGUGAGGUAAAGGCUCACCAAGCCGACGAUCCUUAGCUGGUCUGAGAGGAUGAUCAGCCACACUGGGACUGAGACACGGCCCAGACUCCUACGGGAGGCAGCAGUGGGGAAUAUUGGACAAUGGGCGAAAGCCUGAUCCAGCAAUGCCGCGUGAGUGAUGAAGGCCUUAGGGUUGUAAAGCUCUUUUACCCGGGAUGAUAAUGACAGUACCGGGAGAAUAAGCGCCGGCUAACUCCGUG
This 433-nucleotide ribosomal RNA is filed under the name uncultured bacterium. RNAcentral's name for it is "partial 16S ribosomal RNA". It matches the Rfam family "Bacterial small subunit ribosomal RNA", at positions 29 to 507 of the family's 1533-position model. The record is from RNAcentral.